CUUUGAGGAGGGUGACGGGCGGUGUGUACAUUUUCUAGAGCUAAUUUCAUAUUCUUUUUAUUUAGUGUGAUUACUAUUGAAUCCUUUUUUAUUUAUCUUAUUAAGAUUAAAGUCCUCUGUUGAAAAGUAGGGUAGCUAAUUAUAACCAAUUUAUAAGUUGCACCUUGAUCUGAUUUUAAAAGAUUUCUUUUUUUGAUUACUUUCUUUAGAAGUAUUCUUUUACGAUGGUAUACAAGCUGAUUUCUAAAAUUGGAAAGGUGUCUUGUGGAUUAUCUAUUAAAUAACAAGCUCCUCCAAAAAGGUUUUGAAAACCGCCAAGUUCUUAAAGUUUAAGUUGUUUAACUAUACUUCUCUGGAGUUUUUGUUAUCGAAU
RNAcentral lists this ribosomal RNA (373 nucleotides) under Pseudostichopus sp. 2 AKM-2016. Its description in RNAcentral is "partial 12S ribosomal RNA". Lineage: Eukaryota; Metazoa; Echinodermata; Holothuroidea; Aspidochirotida; Synallactidae. The record is from RNAcentral.